AUGUGAAAAUAUUGAGGAAAAACAUGGUCUUGUAGGUCUAGGUUUAAACCGGAAUUUAUAGAAAGAUUAAAAGAUUCCCUAGGUGUAGCUAAAAGUUCAUUAUCUUCUUGAUUAAAAGAUAGGACCUCGGCUAUAGAAAAGGGUUGGUUUUGACCUAUUGCAAUCAACUUCGGACACAAAUCAUAAUUAGGGGAAAAGAAAGGACUUGCUGACUCCCAUGGUCUAUGGCUGGUCUCCGAAGGUGCAAAAAAUUCAAUAAUAGGUGUGGAAUUUGAGUUAUCCAUAA
RNAcentral lists this long non-coding RNA (286 nucleotides) under Sorghum bicolor (sorghum). RNAcentral describes it as "long non-coding RNA (SBIC_LNC008353)". The record is from RNAcentral. Lineage: Eukaryota; Viridiplantae; Streptophyta; Magnoliopsida; Poales; Poaceae.